This 407-nucleotide ribosomal RNA is filed under the name uncultured bacterium. RNAcentral's name for it is "partial 16S ribosomal RNA". It matches the Rfam family "Bacterial small subunit ribosomal RNA", at positions 30 to 526 of the family's 1533-position model. The record is from RNAcentral.
AUUGAACGCUGGCGGCAGGCCUAACACAUGCAAGUCGAGCGGAGCGGCGGACGGGCGAGUAAUUCCUAGGAAUCUGCCUGGCCGUGGGGGAUAACGGCCGGAAACGGGCGCUAAUACCUCAUAUUAUCUAUUGAGCCUAGCCCGGAGUAGCUAGUUGGUGGGGUAAAGGCCUACCAAGGCGACGAUCCGUAACUGGUCUGAGAGGAUGAUCAGUCACACUGGAACUGAGAAACGGUCCAGACUCCUACGGGAGGCAGCAGUGGGGAAUAUUGGACAAGUGGCGAAAGCCUGAUGCAGCCAUGCCGCGUGUGUGAAGAAGGUCUUCGGAUUGUAAAGCACUUUAAGUUGGGAGGCGUUACCAACAGAAUAAGCACCGGCUAACUUCGUGCCAGCAGCCGCGGUAAUAC